CAGAGCAAAGUUAAACGGGUGGCUGGACACACUGUAUGAUCAAGACCUAAAUCACAACAGCUGGAAAUAUCCCAUGGCUACAUGCCAGACAUUUGUAAGAGGCGGCUGAGAGGUCUUUUGUAUACAUGUAGAGCUCAUUAUGAAGAACGACGCCCUGCCCGAUUAAAGUGCUCUUCUUCAUUGUUCUGAUGUUACCCCACUUCUUAGACUCCACACAGAAAGAUGUUAUCAGGGUUUUAGUAUUGUUACCCCCGAUUACAAUCAACUGAUUAUUGGCGGCUCCCAAAAAGUGCAGGACGGUGAGGUCAGCGCUCGAUCGGCGCAGCACCAGUUUCUCUCCGGUUCUCUUGAUGUUCCCCAGUACAUAAAGGCAGUGCCCCAGACUGGUGGUAAGUGGGGAGUCAUGGGAUAGAGAUAGGGUGAACUGGAAAUCCGUCAGAGGGAGGGAAG
This is a non-coding RNA of Paramisgurnus dabryanus, 450 nucleotides long. The record is from RefSeq and is a predicted model, not a curated record. NCBI's taxonomy places the organism in Eukaryota, Metazoa, Chordata, Actinopteri, Cypriniformes, Cobitidae.